UAAGGAAUCUUCCACAAUGGGCGAAAGCCUGAUGGAGCAACGCCGCGUGCAGGAUGAAGGCCUUCGGGUCGUAAACUGCUUUUAUUAGUGAAGAAUAUGACGGUAACUAAUGAAUAAGGAUCGGCUAACUACGUGCCAGCAGCCGCGGUCAUACGUAGGAUCCGAGCAUUAUCCGGAGUGACUGGGCGUAAAGAGUUGCGUAGGUGGCUUGUAAAGCAAAUGGUGAAAUCUGGGGGCUCAACCUCACAGACUAUUAUUUGAACUCACAAGCUCGAGAACAGCAGAGGUAACUGGAAUUUCUGAAGUAGGGGUAAUAUCCGUAGAUAUCAGAAGGAACACCAAUGGCGUAGGCAGGUUACUGGGCUGUUUCUGACACUGAGGCACGAAAGCGUGGGGAGCG
RNAcentral lists this ribosomal RNA (400 nucleotides) under uncultured bacterium. RNAcentral describes it as "bacterial SSU rRNA". It matches the Rfam family "Bacterial small subunit ribosomal RNA", at positions 355 to 770 of the family's 1533-position model. The record is from RNAcentral.